RNAcentral lists this ribosomal RNA (404 nucleotides) under Fusobacteriota bacterium. RNAcentral describes it as "Fusobacteria bacterium partial 16S ribosomal RNA". It matches the Rfam family "Bacterial small subunit ribosomal RNA", at positions 355 to 776 of the family's 1533-position model. The record is from RNAcentral. Lineage: Bacteria; Fusobacteriati; Fusobacteriota.
UGGGGAAUAUUGCACAAUGGAGGGAACUCUGAUGCAGCGACGCCGCGUGAGUGAUGAAGGAAUUCGUUUCGUAAAACUCUGUUCUAUGGGAAGAAAAGGACUGUACCAUAGGAGAAAGCUCCGGCUAAAUACGUGCCAGCAGCCGCGGUAAUACGUAUGGAGCGAGCGUUUUCCGGAAUUAUUGGGCGUAAAGGGUGCGCAGGCGGCUUUACAAGUUGGAUGUGAAAUAUUGUGGCUCAACCACAAACGUGCAUCCAAAACUGCAAAGCUUGGGUUAAGGAGAAGGAAGUGGAAUUCCUGGUGUGGCGGUGGAAUGCGUAGAUAUCAGGAGGAAUACCGGUGGCGAAGGCGACUUACUGGACUUAAACUGACGCUCAGGCACGAAAGCGUGGGGAGCAAACAGG